GAGGAGGAUGCGUUCCACCCGGAUCCAGGCAGGUGCGCCUAAUCGGGAAAGACUUGCUGAUGGGAGCCGCCACUCACCAAUAAAGAGCUCUCCCGUCCUCCUUCAGCUCGGUCUGUGAACCCUCUGCACUUCCUGUCCCGAGGCCCGGCGAGCCCUUUACACGCACCGGGCUGUAUCCGACGGUAACGGCAGAAUUACUCCAAUUACAAGCCUCCUCUACACCCGGGCCCCUUUCCCUCACCCUAGCGAGAUGGCGGCGCACCUCCAGGAGCCAAUCGCGCGCCUCCGUGC
Anguilla anguilla (European eel) is the source of this 291-nucleotide long non-coding RNA. RefSeq lists it as uncharacterized. The transcript has 3 exons. NCBI's taxonomy places the organism in Eukaryota, Metazoa, Chordata, Actinopteri, Anguilliformes, Anguillidae. The record is from RefSeq and is a predicted model, not a curated record.